RNAcentral lists this ribosomal RNA (580 nucleotides) under Halorubrum distributum. Its description in RNAcentral is "partial 16S ribosomal RNA". It matches the Rfam family "Archaeal small subunit ribosomal RNA", at positions 370 to 948 of the family's 1478-position model. Lineage: Archaea; Methanobacteriati; Methanobacteriota; Halobacteria; Halobacteriales; Haloferacaceae. The record is from RNAcentral.
AUAGGGGGAUCCCAAGGGCACAGGCAUAGUGCCUGUGCUUUUCGGUACCGUANGGUGGUACCAGAAUAAGGGCUGGGCAAGACCGGUGCCAGCCGCCGCGGUAAUACCGGCAGCCCAAGUGAUGGCCGAUCUUAUUGGGCCUAAAGCGUCCGUAGCUGGCCGCGCAAGUCCAUCGGGAAAUCCACCUGCUCAACAGGUGGGCGCCCGGUAGAAACUGCGUGGCUUGGGACCGGAAGGCGCGACGGGUACGUCCGGGGUAGGAGUGAAAUCCCGUAAUCCUGGACGGACCGCCGAUGGCGAAAGCACGUCGCGAGGACGGAUCCGACAGUGAGGGACGAAAGCCAGGGUCUCGAACCGGAUUAGAUACCCGGGUAGUCCUGGCCGUAAACAAUGUCUGCUAGGUGUGGCUCCCACUACGAGUGGGUGCUGUGCCGUAGGGAAGCCGCUAAGCAGACCGCCUGGGAAGUACGUCCGCAAGGAUGAAACUUAAAGGAAUUGGCGGGGGAGCACUACAACCGGAGGAGCCUGCGGUUUAAUUGGACUCAACGCCGGACAUCUCACCAGCAUCGACUGUAAUAAU